This 468-nucleotide ribosomal RNA is filed under the name uncultured bacterium. RNAcentral's name for it is "partial 16S ribosomal RNA". It matches the Rfam family "Bacterial small subunit ribosomal RNA", at positions 28 to 507 of the family's 1533-position model. The record is from RNAcentral.
GACGAACGCUGGCGGCGUGCUUAACACAUGCAAGUCGAACGGAAAGGCCCUGCUUUUGUGGGGUGCUCGAGUGGCGAACGGGUGAGUAACACGUGAGUAACCUGCCCUUGACUUUGUGAUAACUUCAGGAAACUGGGGCUAAUACCGGAUAGGAGCUCCUGCUGCAUGGUGGGGUUUGGAAAGUUUCGGCGGUUGGGGAUGGACUCGCGGCUUAUCAGCUUGUUGGUUGGGUAGUUGCUUACCAAGGCUUUGACGGGUAGCCUGCCUGAGAGGGUGAACAGCCACAUUGGGACUGAGAUACGGCCCAGACUCCUACGGGAGGCAGCAGUGGGGAAUAUUGCACAAUGGGCGGAAGCCUGAUGCAGCAACGCCGCGUGCGGGAUGACGGCCUUCGGGUUGUAAACCGCUUUCGCCUGUGACGAAGCGUGAGUGACGGUAAUGGGUAAAGAAGCACCGGCUAACUACGUG